This 253-nucleotide ribosomal RNA is filed under the name uncultured Desulfovibrio sp. RNAcentral describes it as "partial 16S ribosomal RNA". It matches the Rfam family "Bacterial small subunit ribosomal RNA", at positions 524 to 776 of the family's 1533-position model. Lineage: Bacteria; Pseudomonadati; Thermodesulfobacteriota; Desulfovibrionia; Desulfovibrionales; Desulfovibrionaceae. The record is from RNAcentral.
UACAGAGGGUGCGAGCGUUAAUCGGAAUUACUGGGCGUAAAGCGCACGUAGGCGGUCCUGCAAGUCAGGCGUGAAAUCCCUUGGCUCAACCGAGGAAUUGCGUUUGAAACUGCAGGACUGGAGUACUGGAGAGGGUGGCGGAAUUCCCGGUGUAGGAGUGAAAUCCGUAGAUAUCGGGAGGAACACCAGUGGCGAAGGCGGCCACCUGGACAGAUACUGACGCUGAGGUGCGAAAGCGUGGGGAGCAAACAGG